GGGUCAGUAGGUUGGUCGUGCCACCGGUACGUACUGGUCUCACUGAUUCCUCCUUCCUGAAGAACCGUAAUGCCAUUAAUUUGGUGUUGCGGGGAAACAGGACUGUUACUUUGAAAAAAUUAGAGUGCUUAAAGCAAGCUAACGCUUGAAUACAUUAGCAUAGAAUAAUGAAAUAGGACGAUCGAUCCUAUUUUGUUGGUUUCUAGGAUUGACGUA
This 216-nucleotide ribosomal RNA is filed under the name Glomeromycotina sp. RNAcentral describes it as "partial small subunit ribosomal RNA". The stretch from base 40 to 216 matches the Rfam family "Eukaryotic small subunit ribosomal RNA", at positions 686 to 864 of the family's 1831-position model. The record is from RNAcentral. Lineage: Eukaryota; Fungi; Glomeromycota.